UACGUAGGGGGCAAGCGUUAUCCGGAUUUACUGGGUGUAAAGGGGGCGCAGACGGCGAUGCAAGCCAGGAGUGAAAGCCCGGGGCCCAACCCCGGGACUGCUCUUGGAACUGCGUGGCUGGAGUGCAGGAGGGGCAGGCGGAAUUCCUGGUGUAGCGAUGAAAUGCGUAGAUAUCAGGAGGAACACCGGUGGCGAAGGCGGCCUGCUGGACUGCAACUGACGUUGAGGCCCGAAAGCGUGGGGAGCAAACAGG
This 253-nucleotide ribosomal RNA is filed under the name uncultured bacterium. RNAcentral describes it as "partial 16S ribosomal RNA". It matches the Rfam family "Bacterial small subunit ribosomal RNA", at positions 524 to 776 of the family's 1533-position model. The record is from RNAcentral.